UACGUAGAGUGCAAGCGUUGUCCGGAAUUAUUGGGCGUAAAGGGUACGCAGGCGGAUAAUCAAGUCAAGCGUGAAAGGUGUCGGCUUAACCGACAGACUGCGUUUGAAACUGAUUAUCUUGAGUGUAACAGAGGAGAGUGGAAUUCCUAGUGUAGUGGUGAAAUACGUAGAUAUUAGGAAGAACACCAGUGGCGAAGGCGACUCUCUGGGUUAACACUGACGCUGAGGUACGAAAGCUGGGGGAGCGAACGG
RNAcentral lists this ribosomal RNA (252 nucleotides) under uncultured bacterium. RNAcentral's name for it is "partial 16S ribosomal RNA". It matches the Rfam family "Bacterial small subunit ribosomal RNA", at positions 524 to 775 of the family's 1533-position model. The record is from RNAcentral.